UACGUAGGGGGCAAGCGUUGUCCGGAAUCAUUGGGCGUAAAGAGCGUGUAGGCGGCCAGAUAAGUCCGCUGUGAAAUCUCGAGGCUCAACUUCGAGCUGUCGGUGGAAACUGUCUGGCUAGAGUCCGGAAGAGGAGAAUGGAAUUCCUGGUGUAGCGGUGAAAUGCGCAGAUAUCAGGAGGAACACCAAUUGCGAAGGCAGCUCGCUGGGAAGUUACUGACGCUGAGACGCGAAAGCGUGGGGAGCAAACAGG
This 253-nucleotide ribosomal RNA is filed under the name uncultured bacterium. RNAcentral's name for it is "partial 16S ribosomal RNA". It matches the Rfam family "Bacterial small subunit ribosomal RNA", at positions 524 to 776 of the family's 1533-position model. The record is from RNAcentral.